UACGUAGGGUGCGAGCGUUAAUCGGAAUUACUGGGCGUAAAGCGCGCGCAGGCGGUCCUUUAAGUCUGAUGUGAAAGCCCUCGGCUCAACCGAGGAGGGUCAUUGGAAACUGGAGGACUUGAGUGCAGAAGAGGAAAGUGGAAUUCCAAGUGUAGCGGUGAAAUGCGUAGAGAUUUGGAGGAACACCAGUGGCGAAGGCGACUUUCUGGUCUGUAACUGACGCUGAGGCGCGAAAGCGUGGGGAGCAAACAGG
RNAcentral lists this ribosomal RNA (253 nucleotides) under uncultured bacterium. Its description in RNAcentral is "partial 16S ribosomal RNA". It matches the Rfam family "Bacterial small subunit ribosomal RNA", at positions 524 to 776 of the family's 1533-position model. The record is from RNAcentral.